Non-coding RNA from Jatropha curcas, 115 nucleotides. NCBI's taxonomy places the organism in Eukaryota, Viridiplantae, Streptophyta, Magnoliopsida, Malpighiales, Euphorbiaceae. The record is from Rfam.
UGGCUAUGAUGACAAAAAAAGGCCGGACUUACGGCUGCUACCACUAAGUUUGCUUUAGUUGGUUUUGGUAGUAGAUUGAUGAACCUUCUGGUUAAAGGUGUUAGUUCUGAGCCAG